CCUACGGGCUGCAGCAGUGGGGAAUAUUGCACAAUGGGCGCAAGCCUGAUGCAGCCAUGCCGCGUGUAUGAAGAAGGCCCUAGGGUCGUAAAGUACUUUCAGUCGGGAGGAAGGCGUUGACGCUAAUAUCAUCAACGAUUGACGUUACCGACAGAAGAAGCACCGGCUAACUCCGUGCCAGCAGCCGCGGUAAUACGGAGGGUGCAAGCGUUAAUCGGAAUUACUGGGCGUAAAGCGCACGCAGGCGGUUGAUUAAGUUAGAUGUGAAAUCCCCGGGCUUAACCUGGGAAUGGCAUCUAAGACUGGUCAGCUAGGGUCCUGUAGAGGGGGGUAGAAUUCCAUGUGUAGCGGUGAAAUGCGUAGAGAUGUGGAGGAAUACCGGUGGCGAAGGCGGCCCCCUGACAAAGACUGACGCUCAGGUGCGAAAGCGUGGGGAGCAAACAGGAUUAGAUACCCUCGUAGUC
RNAcentral lists this ribosomal RNA (464 nucleotides) under uncultured bacterium. RNAcentral's name for it is "bacterial SSU rRNA". It matches the Rfam family "Bacterial small subunit ribosomal RNA", at positions 338 to 795 of the family's 1533-position model. The record is from RNAcentral.